Molecule: long non-coding RNA, 1383 nt
Organism: Oncorhynchus keta (chum salmon)
Lineage: Eukaryota; Metazoa; Chordata; Actinopteri; Salmoniformes; Salmonidae
Exons: 3
Source: RefSeq, a predicted model, not a curated record
CAGCUUGUUGUCAUUGCAGGCAAUCUCAACACUGUGCGUUACAGGGAAGACAUCCUCCUCCCUCAUGUGGUACCCUUCCUGCAGGCUCAUCCUGACAUGACCCUCCAGCAUGACAAUGCCACCAGCCACACUGCUCGUUCUGUGCGUGGUUUCCUUCAAGACAUGAAUAUCAGUGUUCGGCCAUGGCCAGCGAAGAGCCUGGAUCUCAAUCCCAUUGGGAAAGUCUGGGACCUGUUGGAUCAGAGGGUGAGGGCCAUUCCCCCCCAGAAAUGUCCAGGAACUUGCAGGUACCUUGGUGGAAGAGUGGGGUUACAUCACACAGCAAGAACUGGCAAAUCUGGUGCAGUCCAUGAGGAGGAGAUGCACUGCAGUACUUAAUGCAGCUACACCAGAUACUGACUGUUAAUUUUGACCCCCCUCCCCUUUGUUCAGGGACACAUUAUUCCAUUUUUGUUAGUCACAUGCCUGUGGAACUUGUUCAGUUUAUGUAUCAGUUGUUGAAUCUUGUUAUGUUCAUACAAAUAUUUACACAUGUUAAGUUUGCUGAAAAUAAACUCAGUUGACAGUGAGAGGACAUUUCUUUUUUUGCUGAGUUUAGCUAGUUAGCUACCUAGCUAAGGACAAAACAAACACUGGCCUUCAGUACAGCGAGGGGCGAGUCACUGUUGACAGACAGCCAGACUGCCUUCUUUAGAGUAGACAACAGUAGUCAAGCCACUGAAAGCAACAUAACUUCGCUAACGUUAGAUGGCUUUGAUGGUGGUAGGCAGUUAUAAUGAAGGCCAGUGAUUGUGGGGGAACUGCCAGAGCUGAACCAGUGACUCUGUGGUUAUGGAGCGUGGCCACCACCUGUGCCAUGACCUCUUGGCAGUUGAAGCCUGCAGCAGUAGGCCUACACUAAGAAAGAAGGGCCACUUGAUCCUGUACAUCUGACCCCAGGACCAACCUGCUAUGACCAAUGAGGACUUAAAACAGUCAUUUUAUACCACUGUAGAAAUACUGACUCAUUUUCAUCAUCUUUAUCAUAUGUAUAAGGAUAUGUUUUACAUCAGUCGACAUAACAUGGACCUCAGUUGUCCAAAACACUCAAAAUAAAAGACACACAGACACAAUGCAGCUUUCAAGAUUGCUUUAAGAUAUAGAUAUAUUUUCAGAUCUGAGUUAAUGUCAAAAAUACACAUUAUGAUUUACAGAGUUUUGCACUAGAUCAUAAUGCUGAGGAUGAUAGAUGUCACAUAAGCAGUAACUGAAAUAUUCAUUUAAAUAUUAAAUAACUGACGGUAAACAAAGAAAAUGAUGUAAACACUAAAGCUACAUGUUACUCUCUAUUGCAACACUUUAAAGAUUUGUUUUUGUAACAGUACAAAAAAAACAUUAGAAUUU